UGGGGAAUUUUGCGCAAUGGGCGAAAGCCUGACGCAGCGACGCCGCGUGUACGAUGAAGGCCUUUGGGUCGUAAAGUACUGUCAACGGGGACGAACGCCUCAGAUUGAAUAGGUCUGAGGUCUGACGGUACCCGUGGAGGAAGCACCGGCUAACUCUGUGCCAGCAGCCGCGGUAAUACAGAGGGUGCAAACGUUGCUCGGAAUGACUGGGCGUAAAGCGCGCGCAGGUGGCCCGUUAAGUUGGCUGUGAAAUCCCCUGGCUCAACCAGGGAAGUGCAGUCGAUACUGGCGGGCUCGAGUCCCGGAGAGGGUGGUAGAAUUCCCAGUGUAGAGGUGAAAUUCGUAGAUAUUGGGAGGAAUACCGGUGGCGAAGGCGCUCUACUGGACCUGUACUGACACUAAGGGACGAAAGCUAGGGGAGCGAAAGGGAUUAGAUACCCGCGUAGUCC
This 449-nucleotide ribosomal RNA is filed under the name uncultured prokaryote. RNAcentral describes it as "bacterial SSU rRNA". It matches the Rfam family "Bacterial small subunit ribosomal RNA", at positions 355 to 796 of the family's 1533-position model. The record is from RNAcentral.